This 192-nucleotide microRNA precursor is filed under the name Oryza punctata. RNAcentral describes it as "MIR812 microRNA precursor family". It matches the Rfam family "MIR812 microRNA precursor family". Lineage: Eukaryota; Viridiplantae; Streptophyta; Magnoliopsida; Poales; Poaceae. The record is from Rfam by way of RNAcentral.
AAUAAAUGUAAUUUUACACUGUUCAUAUUUAACGUUUGAUCAUCCGUUUUAUUUGAAAAAAAUUUUAUGAUCAGUAUUUUAUUGCUAUUAAAUGAUAAAACAUGAAUAAUACUUUAUGUGUGAUUUUUUUUAAUUUUUUUAUAUUUUUUUAAAUAAGAUGAAUGGUUAAACGUUGGAAACGAAUAUCCACGG